UGCCAGCAGCCCCGGUAAUACGCAGGCUGCUACCGUCAAUCGGAAUUACUGGGCGUAAAGCGCACGCAGGCGGUUUGUUAAGCUAGAUGUGAAAGCCCCGGGCUCAACCUGGGAUGGUCAUUUAGAACUGGCAGACUAGAGUCUUGGAGAGGGGAGUGGAAUUCCAGGUGUAGCGGUGAAAUGCGUUGAUAUCUGGAGGAACAUCAGUGGCGAAGGCGGCUCCCUGGCCAAAGACUGACGCUCAUGUGCGAAAGUGUGGGUAGCGAACAGGAUUGGAUA
RNAcentral lists this ribosomal RNA (279 nucleotides) under uncultured bacterium. RNAcentral describes it as "partial 16S ribosomal RNA". It matches the Rfam family "Bacterial small subunit ribosomal RNA", at positions 506 to 784 of the family's 1533-position model. The record is from RNAcentral.